Molecule: small nucleolar RNA, 72 nt
Organism: Hemibagrus wyckioides
Lineage: Eukaryota; Metazoa; Chordata; Actinopteri; Siluriformes; Bagridae
Source: RefSeq, a predicted model, not a curated record
CUGAAAUGAUGAUUUUGUGAUUACCGCCCCAGUCUGAUGUAUAGUGACUGAUUGGUACCCCUCUGAUCUUCA